CCGCCCCCUCCGGGCUCCACGGGGCGCGCGGUCUCCCGGGGCUCUAGGGGGCGAGCACGGCCGGUCCCCGCCCCCGCCUGCCGGAGGGAGCCAGCGGGAUCCCCCACGUUACCUCGAAGGUCGAGCCCCUGGACGGCGGAGGGACUUUGGAAAAGCUCGGAAUUGACCGAGGGGAGCCAGAGAAGAGGUUGGAAACCUUUUCUCCCACCACGGGCGGUUUAAGAUGGAGGAAAACGCUCUUUUAUUGAAAUAAAAGAAGUCUAAGCUGACCUGCGGUUGCUUCUUUAGGAGAGUCGACGUGUCUGCGUCCAGCGCGCCCGGGCUGAGCUGCAGACUCGCGCCUGCCACCGCCACCCUCUGCCACCUUGCCCUGUUUUGUCUUUAUGGCGCUUCCCCCUCUGAAAUACUCUUUGCGGGGAGUUUUGUGGCUCUAUCACUCGCUUCUUCCCUGGCUCCCCAGAUGCCUGGAGAGCGGGGACCUACUUGGUCCCCAACGUCCAGUCCGCAGCAGGGCUCCGUCACUGUCUCCAGAGACUGAACGAAUGACUUUCUAGCAGUAAGGAAGUCCCCGCUGGCCCCGUCCCCCUGCACACGCCGUGGACCUCGCCCAGGGCCCAGGACGCCCCGAGAUGGCCUUGGGCAGGGAACCAGUUGUGGAUUUCCCGGGGGCAGGGUUGGGGGCAGUCCCUGGAACCGGGCCUAGCCCGUCUGGGAGCGGUGGGGUAGAAGUGAAAGGCUUAAGUGUGGGUGCGGGGACUUGCAGCCGCACAGACAAGGCAGACCGGGACUGGGAAGCUGCCCGGAGCGGCUGCUGCGACUCUCCGCUCCGACCUAGCCGGGGCAGCCCUCCCUGCCCCGGGAGAAGACGGCGAGCAGGAGGACCCGCAGAGCCCCGCCCGGCUGCUCCGGCCCCGGGGGCACUGGCACCAUCGGGCUGUGGUCUUUUCCCGAUGCCCGAGCCGUGGACGCGGCCACCUAAGAGCGGUCCGGCGAAGGCAGCGCAGCCGGUGUCCCAGGGACCGGUCCCCAACGCCACUCGGUGCAUUUCCCCAGGCGCUGGCAGGGGCACUGAUUCCUAGCAAUGAGGCCUCCCUUCCCCUUCCCAGGCCGCCCCUCCUCUGACUCCCUCCAGAGCAGGGCCGAGUUUUCCUGGGGAGCCUGGGUCCCGGCGGCCGGGCGGCCGCUGGGAGGUGGAGGAGCCUCUCCAGCCCCGGCCGCAGCUCAUCGUGAGCCAACCGCGCCACCUGCCGGCCAGAUGCGGGAGUGUGCGGCCCCGGAGGAAGGGCGAGCGGACAAAGACCGCAACCCGCAAUCCGCAACCCCGCAGAGAGGUGGUGCGUGCGUUUGGGCGAGCUUUUCAGCCACCGCCAAGUCUCGUGCACUAGGGCUACUCCUACCGUGGGGCUGCGGACAGCGCUCAAGAGGUCCUGGAGUCUGUCGUGACUCUCGCCUGCUGGAUUUCAAAAGAUGGAAUCGGAAAGCGUUUCAAGGAGAAACUCCUAACAAACCUUCCGGGGGUUGCCUGAGUGGCUGCUCUCGGAAAAGCGGAUCCUAAAUAAAGCGGGAGGGUUAUAGGGCGACGUCGAGGAGAGGACAGGUCUCGAGUCACUGCUACAGUUUCAGGUCACUGGGCUCCGCAGCAGAUCGUGUUUUCUCCCGUGGCUCGAGAGCUGCGCUGGUUUCUCAUGCAAACUCAGAGCCGAGCUAAUGACAUGAGCAACUUUUACUUUUACACAAGAUGAGCACGCGUGCCGAGGCGCUGGGCGGCGGCUGUGUGAGUUGGUGGCCCAGACGAACAGCUUGUGCGAGACUCUGGGCAUUUCGGUUUCUAGAUACAAGAUUUGCUUAAAUGUCACAGUCCAAAGAAGUGGAUUUCAGUCAUUGUAGCUACUGAUUGCACACAAGUAAAAAGGGAAAAAAUAUGUACUCGGGGGAUAUAUGUAUGUGUGUGUGCGUGCAUAAAUUAUUUAAAAUAACUGCACUAAAUCCCUUUAAGAAAUGCAUUUCUGGGUUCUUUCAUGUGUCUUUCUGAGUUUUACAGAAAAAGAAGACGAAUAUUGGUCCCUGUCAUUUGGCACACAGAUUCAAAAGAGAAAAGAGCAAUCCGAAUUCUUUUUGAAACCUUUUUAAACAAUAGAUGCUGGCUGCCUCUCUGCAGGAUCUUGAGUGUUGCAUGUAUCUAUCUGUGUUUGAAACGGGAAACUGACUGCCUGCAUUGUUAUAAACAGUAAAAUUUCUAAAACAUGUACCAUUUUUUUCCCCAGGAUAUGCACAUUGAAUAUUAAACAAAGUCUUUCCAGACACAGCUGCCUGAAAGCAAGGCAUCAUUUGCUAGAGUACAUUCACUGACUUUCCCUUUUUUCUUCCUAUGUUUUAGUUCAGGACCCAAGGCAGCCCGAUAAUCAGGAGAACCAAGAAGCAGGAAAUGCUAACUUGGAAAAACUGAACUAUAACUUCCUCUUUAAAUCAUUUCUGGGUUGCAGAACAGAAAUGAGCUGCUGAAAAUUCCUCUGUCCAUUGUGACUACCUAGAACAAAGGUGUUCUAACCUAGCAGAUAUGAUUCCUUGAAGAGUAAGGCAAAAUUUUAAAAAUGAUGGUGGACAAAGGCCACCAUCAAUGCAGAAAACCACCCACAUUAUGGGAAGACAACCUGGAGUUUUCAAAUGUUGGAGACUGUUUACAACACAUCAACGGAGUCAUAAGGAUACAAUGGAAUAUCAUACCUUUAAAAAAGUAAUUCCACUGGAUUUGGACCUAGAGGCUAUGCUUGUCUUCAAAUAGAAUAGUGUAAAAAAUACGUGAAAGAAGGUGUGAGGAAUCCAGAGUCCCACAACCAAGUGGUAAUGAAUAACCAAAGCUCUACCUAAUGAAAUUCCCACCGUUGUUAGAAAACGCUUCUACCACAAGCUACUGCAUCUUAAAUAUACAAAUUUGACACAACAAUUGGUGGGCUUCCGGAAGCCCCCAGGAAACCUAACUGCAGAGUUCAUCCUUUGAUGUCAAGGCUUUGAUGCUGUUUGUUAUGCAAAUAAGAAGCAGGACACUUAUGAGCCCUUUACACCUGAGUGGGAAAAAAAAUGGCUGCAGAGCUCAGGUCUUCAUGCAUCAAGAGGAUGAGAGAGCAAGACAAAGCAAGAGGCCUUUUUUUGUUUGUUUGUUUCAUUUUUUUAAUAAGUUGUUGGGGUAUAGGUGGUAUUUAGCUACAUGAGUAAGUUCUUCAGUGGAGAUUUGUGAGAUCGUGGUGCCCCCAUCACCCGAGCAGUAUACAUUGCACCGUAUUUGUUGUCUUUUAUCCUUUGCCCCCUCCCAUCUUCCCCCCAAGUCCCCAAAGUCCACUGUAUUAUUCUUAUGCCUUUGCAUCCUCAUAGCUUAGUUCCCACAUAUCAGUGAGAACUUAGGAUGUUUGGUGUUCCAUUCCUGAGUUACUUCACUUAGAAUAAUAAUCUCUUUUGCAUCACUGAGGUGAGGAGGGGCAGACAGGAAGGUUGCAGUUCUCAAGGGAGCAAGGCUUUUCUAAAACUUCAUUUGAUGCCGUCCGUGAAUUUUACUCGGUUCUAACAAACAUUUCUUCAGUGUCUACAAUGUACCAAAUCCCACAUGAGGAAGAGGUCAGGAGAUCAAGACCAUCCUGGCCAACAUGGUGAGACCCCGUCUCUACUAAAAAUACAAAAAUUAGCUGGGCAAGGUGGCGGGCGCCUGUAAUCCCAGCUACUUGGGAGGCUGAGGCAGGAGAAUCGCUUGAACUCGGGAGGCGGAGAUUGCAGUGAGCCAAGAUCGAGCCACCGCCCUCCAACCUAGCGACAGAGUGAGACUCCGUCUCAAAAAAAAACAAUAAAUAAAGAGAUUUCUUCCUAGUCAUGACCAUAUGUGAUAUCCACCGCACAGGGUUGUGGGGGCCAGAAACCAUCAGGGACCUUUCCACCACCAGGGGCCCAAGAAGGAGGAGGAGAGACAGAGAAGGCAUGUGCCAAGAUGCUCAGUUCAGUUCUGUAAUAACUCUAGAUCCCUCUCAGGAACAUUUUGCAGAGACAAUGUGUCCUUCUGGAGGAGAAAUUAGAGGAGAUAAUUUGCAUCUCUUUUUGGCUGCAUUGAGAAAAUGAGUUAAAGUAAAACAUCAGAACAAUUUUAUGUUUUAGGCAUGAAAGCCAUUCCCCAAAAGAAGUGUAAAAUGCUUUUUACUUGAAACCUUUCAAUAUAACACCUCUGAACUGAGGUUCACUCAUUCUAACUCAAAAUGCCAACACAAAGCUGCAAGCCCCAGAUAUUAAAUAUUUUAGCUAUUAAACACUUUUAAUAUUUAACAGCCAUGUUACUUUGUGGUUAUCAGAAGAGUUUUGGAAUUAUAGUUGUCUUAUGAUGAAAAAUGAAUAAUAUAUGUGAUACAUGUGUGAUAUACGUGUGAAUAAAAUUAAGCUGGCACAAUUUUUUUAGCCACUUUUUUUUUUUUUUUUUUUUUUUGAGACAGAAUCUCACUGUGUCACCCAGGCUGACUGGAUUGCAGUGGUGGGAUCUUGGCUCACUACAACCUCUACCUCCGGGGCUCAAGCACUCCUCCCAUCUCAGGCUCCUGAGUAACUGGGACUACAAGCACAUGCCACCAUGCCCAGCUAAUUUUUAAAAUUUUUUUGUAAAGGUAUGGUCUUACUGUGUUGCCCAGGCUACUCUUCAACUCCUGGUCCCAAGUGAUCCUCCUGCCUCGGUCUCCCAAAGUGUUGGGAUUACAGGCAUAAGCCACCAGCCAUUUUAGCCACUCUUAAGGGAGAAAUAAUUGUCCGAUCAGAUCUCCAAUUUAUAGAGGUAUUGCAAUAGUAUUCUGAAAAACAAUGUGUAAUUACGAUACAAUGUUGUAAGAAAGAAAAUAAUAUGGUUAUGAACAUAAUUUAUGAUUUACUACAUAAUGACAACGUAAGUUUGGAAACCUAACUUUUCCUUUCCCCAUCAUAAUCUAAAGCAUUUACAAAGCACUUAUGUUCCAAACAAAUAUUUUGUAAUUUCAGAAGAUCUCUGAACAUUCUAAAGAUGUCUAAAAUGACAGAUAAUGCAUUUCUUUAUGUACAGUACAAAUCCUUUAGAUGCUUGCUUAGAUAACGGAAUAAGUGUACUUAUAAAGAAAAUGUUACUUUUGAAAUCAUAUUUAUAUCUUAUUUCUUUAAUCUAACCAUUUGUACCAGUUAGUAAAUAAGAAAAAGCCUUUUCCCUGCUAAAGAUUAUGCCUUUGACCAUUUAUUCAAAUGGACUAAAGAGGGAACUCAGUGAAAACUCCAAGAAACAUAGUAUAGGCUUUUCCCGAAAUUACAUAGUAUUUGGCUCCACAGUAAAUUAGUGAAACCUUAUUAAAAUCAGUUGGACAAAAACUCUCUAGAUACAGAAAUACCAAAGUGACAUUUAUAAAUAUGGUUUGGUUAAAACUGACAUUUUUGGGGGACUUUCUGGACAUAUUACAUUUAAAAACAAUGAAGAAUUUAUCUAAAAUAAGUGUUAACUCAGGAGUCUAUAGACAAAGAUAUGUCAUACAACUUAACAAUGUAAAGUGAUAUGUGGAAUCACUUUCUCUUCGACCUUGGCUAUCUCUGCACAAAUAAAUGGGCUUAAUUCAGGCAAACAAUGUGUUAUUUGAAGUAAGAAGGUAAAAAGAAAUUCAGUUAGUAACGGAUCAUUUGACUCAAACUGACAUUUAAGGUAUCUCAAUUCAACCAUUUGUUUUUCUUCAUAUUCAACUCCGUAUGUAUACGCACCCCAGGUUUUUCUUUUGC
RNAcentral lists this long non-coding RNA (5754 nucleotides) under Homo sapiens (human). Its description in RNAcentral is "non-protein coding lnc-CCDC140-9:2". Lineage: Eukaryota; Metazoa; Chordata; Mammalia; Primates; Hominidae. The record is from RNAcentral.